AUUGACAUGAUCUUAAUACAAAUUAUCAGAAGAAACCCCAUAUGAGAACCGAUAAGAGUAAGAUGGAAGAAGGUAAACCAUAGCAGAAUUGAGUGCUGAUGGUCUAUUGAGUACGGCAGCUCUUGAAUUCGCCCUUCCUUCGACUAGAACAUAAUAGUACAGACAUAAGAAAAUCAGUCAAUAAAUAUAUUUCAGAAAUCACAAUAAGGGUUUCUUGAAAAAUAUUCUUUAAUUUUAGAAAAAAAAACACAAUAAGGUCUUCCAAAUCUUCCAUAAUUUCAGGAAAAACACAAUAAGGGUUUCUUCCAAAAUCUUCAAUACACAAUAAGAGUUUCUUCAAAAACUUCUACAAUAUCAGAAAAAACAAAGGGUUUCUUCGAAAAUCUUCCAUAAGAGAGUUUUCAGAGAAUCUGGCCUCUUCUUGAAUAUCAUAGUACGGGGCAUAGUUGGGUUGAGCAGAAAAGCCAUGUCUGAGAUGAGAGAAAGCUCUGUCUCUGCAACGAACGCCUAACUACCCUCUGCAUCGUCUCUCUCUCAACUUUG
This 543-nucleotide long non-coding RNA is filed under the name Actinidia chinensis (golden kiwifruit). Its description in RNAcentral is "long non-coding RNA (ACHI_LNC005748)". Lineage: Eukaryota; Viridiplantae; Streptophyta; Magnoliopsida; Ericales; Actinidiaceae. The record is from RNAcentral.